ACUAAUUGUUACUUCCAAUGUAAUCAAUAAAAAGAAAACAGUGUUUUCCCAAGUGAAGGAAAUACUCUUCAGACGAUUUUCAUUAAAGCUGUAAUUUUUCAAUCCGUAGUAAUAAGAAAAACUUUCAAAAAUUCAUUUUCCUGUUCAAAGUGACAUGGGCUGUUUGGGUCCGUGACGGAGUUUCAAAAGUGAUUUAUCUGAAGCCGAAUAUGGAUUUCAGAUUUGUGGCCUUGUGUUAAAGUGUUAUUUUUGCAUGCCGUGUGAACUUGUAACAAUGUUUUUAUGACUGGUUAUGUUUGAUAAGGAUAGAUAAGAUUAAAGGUUUGUGCGUAAGGAAAAAUGUAGUUCACUGUCUUUUGGUUUAUAGCACUCCAUAUCGAAUACACUGGUCUAGUGAACGUUCCAAACUGCCCAAGACAUUUCUUGGAAGUGUUUUGUUUGAACCGCGACAGGAAAGUCAGCCAUCCUGAUGUUUUUCAUGAUUUUUGCAAGGCCCGUCUAGUACCACAGGUACCUCAAGGCGUUCAAGGCUCAGUUACGCCACGGUCAGUGCUGGUCAGUGUCUUCCAGAUUUCCAGAUUCUUUCUUUAAGUAGAAGAAAAUAAAAAUUGGUUAAGUCAGUUUGAACGGUUUGAACCAAGAAACCGCACGACUAGCAUGACUAGAAUACGGUGUCAGCAGAUAAGAUCCCAGUGUACAGCAACCAGUAUACUUGUACAUAUUAUAAAUGACCUAGUGAGGCCAAAGGCAUUUACAACUCAGAACAAAAAAGUCAGAAGUUCAACUUCGUCGAGGGUUUUGAGGAUUGUGGAAGUCAGGACAGGACACACAUUGGAAAUCAUGCUUUAGUUUCCUUGAUCCGUGGCUUACGUAGGAAGUGGAUGGACCAAGGCAUAAAUGGUUGUGCAAUAAUUGAAUGAGGUUAUUGGCGCCUGUCAAAAUGCUGGACUGAAGGCUGUUGCCACAAUCUGUGACACAGCUCCCAGCAACGUCAAGGCCUUGAAGCUGUUCGGAGGUUGCUGCAAACAGCUGCGUUUGUUGAGGAGGUUUCAAUGGUGACCCAGGGAAAACAGUGCGUUUCCCACUCAGUAUAACAGUCCCCAUAUAAAUCAUUGGAAAAAGGCAAGCAUGGGAAUAAAUAAUUGAAUCUUCCUCAAGGAUGGUAAAACUGCCUUUUUUCACCCUCGUCCUUCGCAGAAUGGGUGGCGAAUGGACAUUACUACUGCCCAGUACGUGUGGAAGACAGUGAAAGAGACGAGUGACUUCACACCCUAAACAUGAAUCAGGGUAUUCGUUUGUACUGUGGUUCUAACAGUAACCCAACUGAGGGGUAGUUUGUAGCUGCCCUGAAGACUGGCAUCAUCAGUGGACUUGCUUCUUGAGAUACCAUCAACUGAAGAAGGCUGGCUAAAGAUCGCUAAAGAAUUUGAUGAAAAGCGGAACUCUCCCCACUGUCUAGGGGCUUUAGAUGGGAAGCAUGUCAUUCUGCAGACUCCUGUCAACAGCGGAAGUGAAUACUUCAAUUACAAACAUGAAUUUAGCAUUGUAUUUUUGCUGUGGUAAAUGCCAAUUACAAUUUUGUAUAGUUGAUGUGGGAUGCCAAAGUAGAAUUUCAAAUGGCGGAGUUUUUAAAAACUGUACUUUGUAUAAGACUAUUGAAAAAUGAGAGUUAAAUGGUCCACAACCCCAAAGUUUGGAUGGAAGAGAGAAAGAAAUUCCCUAUUUUUUUUCUUGGAGAUGAAGCAUUUGCACUCAGUCAGCAUUUAAUGAAAGUGUUUCCAGGAAUGUAUCCUGCAGAUUCAAAGAAGCGAGUGUUUAAUUGCAGGGUAUGCAGAGCUCGCAAAGUGGUUGAAAACGUGUUUGAAAUAUCUUCUUCUGUGUUCCGAGUACUGAGCAAACCACUGCUGCUACAGCCAGAAAAUGAAACUCUCAGUGUCAUGGCCGUCGCUCACCUGCAUAACUUCCUGAGGAGGAACAAGGAAUCCUUUAACCUGUACUCACCACUAGGAAGUAUGGAUUAUGAGGUAGAAGGCAAACUAAAGCCAGGGUCUUGGAGGAACGACAAUAACGAGAAGAGAACUUCCUUACUACAGCUGCAAAGAAUUCCGAAAAGGCCCCCAAGAACAGCAAUGGAAAUAAGGAAUGAAUUGGCAGAUUUCUUUACCAAAGAAGGGAAGAUUCCAUGCCAAAAUCAACAUGCUUGAAUUAGUUCGGAAAAUAUGAGCGAAAUCGUGUGCAGCUCCAGCAAAAUAUGACAGAAGAACAGUAGCUCGACGUAUUUCCUUUGUCACUUUUUUUGUGAACCCGGGCCCACAUGGAGGAAAAAAACAGAGAUCCGCGUCUCUUUAUUUUCACCUAUAAUUUUCCUAACCAACUCUGCGACAUCAAUUUUAUGAAUGCAUGCUCAGUACUAUUCUAAAAAUGUAACUUCCCCAUUAAGUACAGAAGGCAAAGGAAAAGAAAAUGGUAAACGCAUGAGUUCUUA
Cryptotermes secundus is the source of this 2485-nucleotide long non-coding RNA. RefSeq lists it as uncharacterized. NCBI's taxonomy places the organism in Eukaryota, Metazoa, Arthropoda, Insecta, Blattodea, Kalotermitidae. The transcript has 4 exons. The record is from RefSeq and is a predicted model, not a curated record.